RNAcentral lists this ribosomal RNA (429 nucleotides) under Brucella melitensis. Its description in RNAcentral is "partial 16S ribosomal RNA". It matches the Rfam family "Bacterial small subunit ribosomal RNA", at positions 355 to 776 of the family's 1533-position model. RNAcentral also lists the same sequence under 2 other names. The record is from RNAcentral. Lineage: Bacteria; Pseudomonadati; Pseudomonadota; Alphaproteobacteria; Hyphomicrobiales; Brucellaceae.
UGGGGAAUUUUGGACAAUGGGCGAAAGCCUGAUCCAGCAAUGCCGCGUGCAGGAUGAAGGCCUUCGGGUUGUAAACUGCUUUUGUACGGAACGAAAAAGCUCCUUCUAAUACAGGGGGCCCAUGACGGUACCGUAAGAAUAAGCACCGGCUAACUACGUGCCAGCAGCCGCGGUAAUACGUAGGGUGCGAGCGUUAAUCGGAAUUGCUGGGCGUAAAGCGUGCGCAGGCGGUUAUGUAAGACAGAUGUGAAAUCCCCGGGCUCAACCUGGGAACUGCAUUUGUGACUGCAUGGCUAGAGUACGGUAGAGGGGGAUGGAAUUCCGCGUGUAGCAGUGAAAUGCGUAGAUAUGCGGAGGAACACCGAUGGCGAAGGCAAUCCCCUGGACCUGUACUGACGCUCAUGCACGAAAGCGUGGGGAGCAAACAGG